ACUGUCAGGUGGGCAGUUUGACUGGGGCGGUCGCCUCCCAAAAGGUAACGGAGGCGCUCAAAGGUUCUCUCAGUACGGUCGGAAAUCGUACGUAGAGUGUAAAGGCAAAAGAGAGCUUGAUUGCAAGACAUACAGGUCGAGCAAGGAUGAAAAUCGGACUUAGUGAUCCGGUGGUUCUGCGUGGAAGGGCCAUCGCUCAACGGAUAAAAGCUACCCUGGGGAUAACAGGCUUAUCUCCCCCAAGAGUCCACAUCGACGGGGAGGUUUGGCACCUCGAUGUCGGCUCAUCACAUCCUGGGGCUGUAGUAGGUCCCAAGGGUUGGGCUGUUCGCCCAUUAAAGUGGUACGCGAGCUGGGUUCAGAACGUCGUGAGACAGUUCGGUCCCUAUCCGUCGCAGGCGUAGGAAAUUUGAGAAGACCUGUCCUUAGUACGAGAGGACCGGGAUGGACGUACCUCUGGUGUACCAGUUGUCCUGCCAAGGGCAUGGCUGGGUAGCUAUGUACGGAAUGGAUAAGCGCUGAAAGCAUCUAAGCGCGAAGCCAACUUC
This 548-nucleotide ribosomal RNA is filed under the name Clostridioides difficile. RNAcentral describes it as "partial 23S ribosomal RNA". It matches the Rfam family "Bacterial large subunit ribosomal RNA", at positions 2253 to 2800 of the family's 2925-position model. The record is from RNAcentral. Lineage: Bacteria; Bacillati; Bacillota; Clostridia; Peptostreptococcales; Peptostreptococcaceae.